Molecule: ribosomal RNA, 253 nt
Filed under: uncultured bacterium
Lineage: Bacteria
Description: partial 16S ribosomal RNA
Rfam family: Bacterial small subunit ribosomal RNA
Source: RNAcentral
UACGUAGGGUGCGAGCGUUGUCCGGAAUUACUGGGCGUAAAGCGUGCGCAGGCGGUUUUGUAAGCCAGAUGUGAAAUCCCCGGGCUUAACCUGGGAAUGGCAUUUGGGACUGCAAGGCUCGAGUGCGGCAGAGGAGACUGGAAUUCCUGGUGUAGCAGUGAAAUGCGUAGAUAUCAGGAGGAACACCGAUGGCGAAGGCAGGUCUCUGGGCUGACACUGACGCUCAUGCACGAAAGCGUGGGGAGCAAACAGG